UGGGGAAUUUUGGACAAUGGGGGCAACCCUGAUCCAGCAAUGCCGCGUGUGUGAAGAAGGCCUUCGGGUUGUAAAGCACUUUUGUCCGGAAAGAAAACGUCGUGGUUAAUACCCGUGGCGGCUGACGGUACCGGAAGAAUAAGCACCGGCUAACUACGUGCCAGCAGCCGCGGUAAUACGUAGGGUGCAAGCGUUAAUCGGAAUUACUGGGCGUAAAGCGUGCGCAGGCGGUCCGCUAAGACAGAUGUGAAAUCCCCGGGCUUAACCUGGGAACUGCAUUUGUGACUGGCGGGCUAGAGUAUGGCAGAGGGGGGUAGAAUUCCACGUGUAGCAGUGAAAUGCGUAGAGAUGUGGAGGAAUACCGAUGGCGAAGGCAGCCCCCUGGGCCAAUACUGACGCUCAUGCACGAAAGCGUGGGGGAGCAAACAGGAUUAGAUACCCUGGUAGUCCACGCCCUAAACGAUGUCAACUAGUUGUCGGGUCUUCAUUGACUUGGUAACGUAGCUAACGCGUGAAGUUGACCGCCUGGGGAGUACGGUCGCAAGAUU
This 548-nucleotide ribosomal RNA is filed under the name uncultured bacterium. Its description in RNAcentral is "partial 16S ribosomal RNA". It matches the Rfam family "Bacterial small subunit ribosomal RNA", at positions 355 to 895 of the family's 1533-position model. The record is from RNAcentral.